GCGGCGCGAGCGGCGUAUGAAAGCGAGGCGGGGCCGCCGGUGCCUACCCGCACGCAGCGUGNNNNNNNNNNNNNNNNNNNNNNNNNNNNNNNNNNNNNNNNNNNNNNNNNNNNNNNNNNNNNNNNNNNNNNNNNNNNNNNNNNNNNNNNNNNNNNNNNNNNCUGGAGCGCAGCGCGGGGGCCGUGCCCGACGAGACCUCGAGCUGCCUGUCCCUGUGCUCCAGCUCCUUCCUCACCUCCACCCCCCUGACGCCGCCCGCGCGCUUCACCUUCGCCCGCGCCCUGGCCCCGCGCAGCCUGCUCGCAGCCGGCCCGCAGCCUGGGGACCUGCGCGGCUCCGCCACCUUCUUCCUGGAUGCGGCUCGGCGCAGCCUGCUCGCGGACGGCCCGGGGCCCAGGGACCCGCGCGGCUCCACCACCGCUGUCCCAGGCGCAGCCCAGGGCAGCCUGCGGAGGGACGACUUGGAGCUGAGAGACUCCUGCGGCUCCACCACCUUCUUUCUGGAUGCAGCCCAAGGCAGCCUGCUCGGGGACAACCCAGAGCCCAGGGACCCAUGCAGCUCCACCACUGCUGUCCCAGGCAUGGCUCGAUGCAGCCUGCUUGCAGACUACCUGGGGCCCAGGGAGCCCUUUGGCUCCACUGCUGCUGACCCAGGCGCAGCCCAGGGCAGCUCGCUGAGAGACCCCCAUGGCUCCACCACCUUCUUCCUGGAUGUAGCUCAGCGCAGCGUGCUCAGGGAUGACCCAGAGCCCAGGGACCCACGCAGCUCCACCACCGCUGUCUUGGACACAACCCAGUGCAGCCUGCCUGGGGACGACCCAGAGCCCAGGGGCCCGCGUAGCUCCACCACUGCCGUCCUGGAUGCAGCCCAGGGCAGCGUGCUCGGGGACAACUCGGAGCUGAGGGACCCGCGUGGCUCCACCACCGCUGUCCUGGGUGACCCAGUGCAACCCGGCCCAGCCGACGGCACCCACAGCACAGCAGGGCCCGAGCACCUGCCUGCACCUCCUGCCUCCCCCAGGGGGAAGGAGCCUGCUGGCAGCAACGACAUUGCCAAGGGUGCAGCUCCAGCCAGGCUGAGAGUUGCGGCUUGCAGCAUCCCGACAGCGCUGCAGGCCCUGGCCCCCGCAUCCUGCAGCUCCCGCAGGGCCCCUGCGGGCAGAGGCUGUGCCUUGGCAGGGUACCUGAGCCGUGUGUCCCUGAGCAGCCUCCGGCUCUCGCUGCAGCAGCCGGUUGGCACUAGGGACGUGCCUCUGGGAUCGCAGACUGAGGCCCAGCCUCCUGCGCAGGUCCCGGCUGGCACCGCGGCGAAGCAGAGCAGUGCCAGGCUGCUCGGCGUUGGGAAGUGUUCCACGGGCCUGCGGCCCCCCUCCAGGCUCCCGGGGCUGGGCGGUAGCAGAGCUGGCCCUGGGGGCUUGCAGGCUCCCACGGGGAUGGAGCUACCUGGAUCCAGCAAAGGGGCCAGGGCUUUUGGGACUGGACUCCCACCUCGCCCAGGUAGCAAGCGGCAGCUCAUGAAGCCAGGCCCCGGCAACCCGGCGCUCGCUGCUGGAGCCCCCCCACCCCUGGGGGCCACAUCCAGCCCCCAAGACAAAGCUCCAGGAAUCAACACCACAUACUCUGCCAGCCAUGUGCAAGGGGCGCAAGGCCGUGGGGCCCAGCAGGAGCCUGCGCUUGCAGAUGGCAGCCCUGGGCCCGGGGCAGCAGAGGCCUCUUCCAGCACAGGUGAUGCUGCCCAGGGCCCCACGUGCAGGGGUCCUGUGGCUGUGCUCCGCAGCUCUCCCCAUGCGGCUCCUCGGGGCAUGGGCGCAGCUGCCCCCAUGCAGUCCCCAGGCAACCUGCUACACCGAGAGCUGGAGCAAGCACAGAAUGAACUGGAGCUGGCACGGAGCGAGCUGCAGAGGGUCCAGAGGGAGCUAGAAGGAGCCAGGACUGAGCUAGCGGAGAAGGAUGCCCAGUGCCAGGCCUAUCGUAGGGUCAUUGCCGACCUCCAAGCUCAGCUGGGAGCAGCAGGCUCUGUGGCUGAAGGGUGCAGGCUCGAGGCGUGAUGGAGUCGCGGUGGAACGACGGUGGCUGGAGGGCUCUGCCCAGUGCUUUCACCUGCCAGCAGCUGCUGCUGCCCCUUGCCCAUGGGACAGCCUCAGUGCAGGCCUUGCAUCCUGUGCAGGGCCUGGGAACUGCUUUUAUUGGUCAUAUUUAAUAAAGAUUAAUGUCUCUUCCUCCUGCCCCCUGGU
This 2234-nucleotide long non-coding RNA is filed under the name Crocodylus porosus (Australian saltwater crocodile). RNAcentral's name for it is "lncRNA (ENSCPRG00005003588.1)". Lineage: Eukaryota; Metazoa; Chordata; Crocodylia; Crocodylidae. The record is from RNAcentral.